Long non-coding RNA from Amphiprion ocellaris (clown anemonefish), 2266 nucleotides. RefSeq lists it as uncharacterized. The transcript is spliced from 3 exons. Lineage: Eukaryota; Metazoa; Chordata; Actinopteri; Pomacentridae. The record is from RefSeq and is a predicted model, not a curated record.
GUCUGGUAGCAUCUCUGACUGCUGUUGACCUUGUUUUUGGAGUAAAACACGGUGGAAGCUGAAUUAGUGAGGAUGACUCCUGCUCCUGUCAUCUCUAAACUCCUCACACAUCUUUACCUGCACAUGAGGAAAAUCACUCCUGUAGAAUGCAGAUGUUCAGAGGGAGAUGAUGCCACAUCUGGUCCAGCUGAUGGAAGGUCUUGAAGUUCUCUGACUGGCCUCAACUGAAGAUGGUCGUCUCACUGGAUUUAAGGUUCAGAUGCUCAGUAACAAACUCCACCAAUGUGCCAACAGGGAAGCUUUAGGUUUAUUAAAUGUUGCUAUGAAGGUAUCGCUGUUUUUCUUUGUGAAUGCAAUGUGCUCCAACUGAAACUUGAAUUAGAACUUAGAAGUAAAUCCUUCCAUCUGAAAGGAUUUAGUUGCAUUAAUAACCUCAUAACAUUCUAAUUUUUAUUUCAGUCUUGGUUGGAAAUAGAAUCUCUGUAUUGAUUCAGGUAAAAACUGAACUUCACAGCAUGUUGAAGCAAAACAACCAGAUGAAAACUGUGAUGGUGUUGGAUUGUCAGACUGUAAUGUUGCAGCUCAAAGCAGCUUUUCUAUCUCAGUUCAUUCUGACAUUCAGCUAUAAAUCAACACAGCAGAUGGUGAUCCAUGCUGUGGAAGUCUCACAUCUCCUGAUUUAAUGGAGCUGCUUUGCACUUUUUACACUGUUUAUUCACCAACACUUUAUUUAAUAAAAGUCCCAUCUAGUUUUUAUGAGGAAUGUGAUGUUUUAAUUUCUCUGUGAAUAACUGCAGUCUAAUGCAACAGCUGGAGUUGUAACAUCUGUCCUGAUAUUGAUCAUGAAGUAUUGAUCAGAAUACUUAUGGUUAACAGUCAUCCCUGAAGUUUUACAUUAAAAUCUUUACUUGUGCUGUGAACUUUGGUAAGAAGCAGAAACUUUUACGUUGCCAUGGAUACACGAGUGUUAAAUUCUGUCCAUGUUUCCAUUUUGGGAAAUUCAGUCCAGUUCCAGAAUGUGGAGGAAUUUAGUCUCACAAUCACAGACAACAAAUAUUAUCUGAAAGUCAGGUUGUUGUUGUUUAUCAGCACAAUACAAAAAGAUUAAUGUCAGAAAUAUUCCAGUUAAGACUCUAGAAUAUCAUGAUUUAUGUAAAUUUACCUCAAUGAUAUGAAUGUUCAGGUUAAGAUUGUACAGUGAUAUUUAUUAUGCAAGUUUAGCUGAUUAAAGUUUAUGACUCUGCACUAAAAUAUUAUUUAAAUUGACAUCAUUAUUAUAAUAUUUAGGGUCAGACCCUACAGUAUUGAGAUUAAGAAAUCAAAUAUUCUAUAAAAUGUAAAUACACUGAACUCAUUUGGAUGUAUUUAAGUGAGACUCUACAAUAUUAUUUGACACAAAUCUAUCUAAAUCAAAAUUUUAAUAAUUUUCAUGCCAAACAUUUACUGGACUAAUUUAAAUAUUAAAAUCACUCCUUUCUAAUCCUCUGCUGUACGUUCAAACCUGAGGCCUUAAAUAGAAACACACAAGUAUCUGAUUGAAGGAACUUCUGCAGAGUCCUGGUUCCAGAACAUGAUGAUAGAAUUAUAGUCAAACUUUAACAAAAGCUGCCUGAGAGUUUACAGGUUUUUAUGUUGGAUUUCUUCAAUAAUUUAAUGAACGUUAUCAGCAAUAAUCAAGUGUUCAUUUGAUGAACUUGAUUUCCUAAAACAUCCAGAAUUGGAGCUCAUAUCUUUGGCAGCUGUAAAGUUUCUGCUCCUUCAAAGUUCACAACACAAUGAAUGAAUUCCUAAAACACUCUCAAUGCUGGAGAGCGUUUGUGAUGCUGAAGCAGUGAUCAGUUUUUCUAUUUCUUCUCUGGAGAUGCACAAUGAGGGACGUCUGCAGAGACUGAGAAAGAGUCUCACCACAUCCUGACAUGAGGAAAAAGACUUUAUUGAAGACUACAAUGAGAAAAACUAUCAGACAGCAGACGGCUGCAUUCAAGGUGAGCUCUGAACAUUUGAUCUGGAACAGGAAUUCAAUAACGGCAGCAUGAGCUUCAUUUCAGUCUGUAGCUGCUGAAUUCAUGGAUGAAUCAUCUGGCACUAGAGAAGAAGACCAUCAAACAUCCAUGUCAGCUGAUGGAGGUCCAAGAGUCUCACCAAACAAACAACCUACAGAGUGAAGACCUCAAAUCUGAUUGGACGGCCUCCUAUUCAGCCACUUGUGUGAACAAAUGCCUCUAAGCUGAUUUGUUUUCUAAAAUAAAUCUAGUUUGAGUCCUAA